GACUUGAGAGCGGCGCACGGGUGCGGAACACGUGUGCAACCUGCCUUUAUCUGGGGGAUAGCCUUUCGAAAGGAAGAUUAAUACCCCAUAAUAUUUAGAAUGGCAUCAUUUUAAAUUGAAAACUCCGGUGGAUAGAGAUGGGCACGCGCAAGAUUAGAUAGUUGGUGAGGUAACGGCUCACCAAGUCAGCGAUCUUUAGGGGGCCUGAGAGGGUGAUCCCCCACACUGGUACUGAGACACGGACCAGACUCCUACGGGAGGCAGCAGUGAGGAAUAUUGGACAAUGGGUGAGAGCCUGAUCCAGCCAUCCCGCGUGAAGGACGACGGCCCUAUGGGUUGUAAACUUCUUUUGUAUAGGGAUAAACCUAGAUACGUGUAUCUAGCUGAAGGUACUAUACGAAUAAGCACCGGCUAACUCCGUGCCAGCAGCCGCGGUAAUACGGAGGGUGCAAGCGUUAUCCGGAUUUAUUGGGUUUAAAGGGUCCGUAGGCGGAUGUGUAAGUCAGUGGUGAAAUCUCACAGCUUAACUGUGAAACUGCCAUUGAUACUGCAUGUCUUGAGUGUUGUUGAAGUAGCUGGAAUAAGUAGUGUAGCGGUGAAAUGCAUAGAUAUUACUUAGAACACCAAUUGCGAAGGCAGGUUACUAAGCAACAACUGACGCUGAUGGACGAAAGCGUGGGGAGCGAACAGGAUUAGAUACCCUGGUAGUCCACGCCGUAAACGAUGCUAACUCGUUUUUGGGGCGUAAGCUUCAGAGACUAAGCGAAAGUGAUAAGUUAGCCACCUGGGGAGUACGAACG
Molecule: ribosomal RNA, 800 nt
Filed under: uncultured bacterium
Lineage: Bacteria
Description: bacterial SSU rRNA
Rfam family: Bacterial small subunit ribosomal RNA
Source: RNAcentral